RNAcentral lists this small RNA (559 nucleotides) under Rhodotorula glutinis. RNAcentral's name for it is "eukaryotic LSU rRNA". It matches the Rfam family "Eukaryotic large subunit ribosomal RNA", at positions 85 to 656 of the family's 3401-position model. Lineage: Eukaryota; Fungi; Basidiomycota; Microbotryomycetes; Sporidiobolales; Sporidiobolaceae. The record is from RNAcentral.
AGCGGCGAGCGAAGCGGGAAGAGCUCAAAUUUAUAAUCUGGCACCUUCGGUGUCCGAGUUGUAAUCUCUAGAAGUGUUUUCCGCGUUGGACCGCACACAAGUCUGUUGGAAUACAGCGGCAUAGUGGUGAAACCCCCGUAUAUGGUGCGGACGCCCAGCGCUUUGUGAUACACUUUCAAUGAGUCGAGUUGUUUGGGAAUGCAGCUCAAAUUGGGUGGUAAAUUCCAUCUAAAGCUAAAUAUUGGCGAGAGACCGAUAGCGAACAAGUACCGUGAGGGAAAGAUGAAAAGCACUUUGGAAAGAGAGUUAACAGUACGUGAAAUUGUUGGAAGGGAAACGCUUGAAGUCAGACUUGCUUGCCGGAGCUUGCUUCGGUUUGCAGGCCAGCAUCAGUUUUCCGGGGUGGAUAAUGACGGUUUGAAGGUAGCAGUCUCGGCUGUGUUAUAGCUUUCCGUUGGAUACAUCCUGGGGGACUGAGGAACGCAGCGUGCUUUUUGCGAAAGACUCGUCUUUUUCACGCUUAGGAUGCUGGUGGAAUGGCUUUAAACGACCCGUCUUG